AGAGUUUGAUCAUGGCUCAGAUUGAACGCUGGCGGCAGCCCUUAUACAUGCAAGUCGAACGAGAAAGUUUCUUCGGGAGCGAGUAAAGUGGCGGACGGGUGAGUAACGCGUAGGAAUCUACCUUUCAGUGGGGGAUAGCUCGGGGAAACUCGAAUUAAUACCGCAUACACCCUUCGGGGGAAAGGGGGCCUCUCCUUGGAAGCUCUCGCUGUUAGAUGAGCCUGCGUGAGAUUAGCUUGUUGGUAAGGUAAUGGCUUACCAAGGCUACGAUCUCUAGCUGGUCUGAGAGGACGAUCAGCCACACUGGGACUGAGACACGGCCCAGACUCCUACGGGAGGCAGCAGUAGGGAAUAUUGGACAAUGGGGGCAACCCUGAUCCAGGCAUGCCGCGUGUGUGAAGAAGGCCUUAGGGUUGUAAAGCACUUUAAGUGAGGAAGAAAAGAUUUAAAUUAAUACUUUAAGUCCCUGACAUUACUCACAGAAUAAGGACCGGCUAACUCCGUGCCAGCAGCCGCGGUAAUACGGAGGGUCCAAGCGUUAAUCGGAAUUACUGGGCGUAAAGCGCGCGUAGAUGGUUUAUUCAGUUGGGUGUGAAAUCCCUGGGCUCAACCUAGGAACUGCAUUCAAAACUUAUAAACUAGAGUACGAAAGAGGAGAGUAGAAUUCAUGGUGUAGCGGUGAAAUGCGUAGAGAUCAUGAGGAAUACCAGUGGCGAAGGCGACUCUCUGGUUCGAGACUGACAUUGAGGUGCGAAAGCGUGGGUAGCAAACAGGAUUAGAUACCCUGGUAGUCCACGCCGUAAACGAUGAGAACUAGCCGUUGGAUCUUUAGAUUCAGUGGCGCAGCUAACGCAUUAAGUUCUCCGCCUGGGGAGUACGGCCGCAAGGCUAAAACUCAAAUGAAUUGACGGGGGCCCGCACAAGCGGUGGAGCAUGUGGUUUAAUUCGAUGCAACGCGAAGAACCUUACCAACCCUUGACAUCCAGUGGAAGUUUUAGAGAUAAAACUGUGCCUUUGGGAACACUGUGACAGGUGUUGCAUGGCUGUCGUCAGCUCGU
Molecule: ribosomal RNA, 1058 nt
Filed under: marine metagenome
Description: bacterial SSU rRNA
Rfam family: Bacterial small subunit ribosomal RNA
Source: RNAcentral